This 168-nucleotide ribosomal RNA is filed under the name Triticum aestivum (bread wheat). Its description in RNAcentral is "partial small subunit ribosomal RNA". Lineage: Eukaryota; Viridiplantae; Streptophyta; Magnoliopsida; Poales; Poaceae. The record is from RNAcentral.
UCCCUCAUUGCCCUCGUGGCUUGGUCCCUCUGGAAGCACCGUAACGCUGCGGUUUUUGACAAUGCCCGACCUUCAUGCGAUGAUCUACAGUGCACCAUCCGUGACGAGGCUCGACUUUGGGCUCGCGCAGGUGCCAUAGGCUUAGGGUUUAUUAUCCCCGCAUUGUAA